GACGAACGCUGGCGGCGUGCUUAACACAUGCAAGUCGAGCGGUAAGGCCCUUUCGGGGGUACACGAGCGGCGAACGGGUGAGUAACACGUGAGCAAUCUGCCCUUCACUUUGGGAUAACCCCGGGAAACCGGGGCUAAUACCGAAUGCGACCACCGAUGGCAUCGUCUGGUGGUGGAAAGUUCCGGCGGUGAAGGAUGAGCUCGCGGCCUAUCAGCUUGUUGGUGGGGUAACGGCCCACCAAGGCAUGGACGGGUAGCCGGCCUGAGAGGGUGACCGGCCACACUGGGACUGAGACACGGCCCAGACUCCUACGGGAGGCAGCAGUGGGGAAGUAUUGGACAAUGGGCGAAAGCCUGAUCCAGCAACGCCGCGUGAGGGAUGACGGCC
Molecule: ribosomal RNA, 388 nt
Filed under: uncultured bacterium
Lineage: Bacteria
Description: bacterial SSU rRNA
Rfam family: Bacterial small subunit ribosomal RNA
Source: RNAcentral